AUGGGCCACGCUGUCCUCCACGCCCAGCUCACGGCACAGAGACCAGCGGAGGCCGUCACGGCGAUGGCGAACACGUACGACAAGUGUCGCCGGCCUGGCGACGCGCGCAUGGUGUUCGACAAUAUGCCCGUCCCAGACCGCGUUGCCUGGAACGCGCUCGUUGUGCAGUACGUGAGGACUGGGAUCACUGUGGCGGCCAUGGCGUUGGUGGUUCAGAUGCAGGAUGAGAACGGGCAGCGGCCUGACUCCGUCAUGCUGUUCUUGCUGCCCGUCUGCGCUGACGCCCAGGAGCUUGGGGUCUGCCACGAGGUGCACGCUUUUGCUGUCAGCACCACUGAGGCUCUGGCAUAG
RNAcentral lists this ribosomal RNA (351 nucleotides) under Triticum aestivum (bread wheat). RNAcentral describes it as "partial small subunit ribosomal RNA". The record is from RNAcentral. Lineage: Eukaryota; Viridiplantae; Streptophyta; Magnoliopsida; Poales; Poaceae.